GACGAACGCUGGCGGCGUGCCUAAUACAUGCAAGUAGAACGCACAGUUUAUACCGUAGCUUGCUACACCAUAGACUGUGAGUUGCGAACGGGUGAGUAACGCGUAGGUAACCUGCCUGGUAGCGGGGGAUAACUAUUGGAAACGAUAGCUAAUACCGCAUAAUAUUGAUUAUUGCAUGAUAAUUGAUUGAAAGAUGCUAUUGCAUCACUACCAGAUGGACCUGCGUUGUAUUAGCUAGUAGGUGAGGUAACGGCUCACCUAGGCGACGAUACAUAGCCGACCUGAGAGGGUGAUCGGCCACACUGGGACUGAGACACGGCCCAGACUCCUACGGGAGGCAGCAGUAGGGAAUCUUCGGCAAUGGACGAAAGUCUGACCGAGCAACGCCGCGUGAGUGAAGAAGGUUUUCGGAUCGUAAAGCUCUGUUGUAAGAGAAGAACGGGUGUGAGAGUGGAAAGUUCACACUGUGACGGUAUCUUACCAGAAAGGAACGGCUAACUACGU
This 504-nucleotide ribosomal RNA is filed under the name uncultured bacterium. Its description in RNAcentral is "partial 16S ribosomal RNA". It matches the Rfam family "Bacterial small subunit ribosomal RNA", at positions 28 to 506 of the family's 1533-position model. The record is from RNAcentral.